RNAcentral lists this ribosomal RNA (266 nucleotides) under uncultured bacterium. RNAcentral describes it as "partial 16S ribosomal RNA". It matches the Rfam family "Bacterial small subunit ribosomal RNA", at positions 521 to 786 of the family's 1533-position model. The record is from RNAcentral.
UAAUACGUAGGGUGCGAGCGUUAAUCGGAAUUACUGGGCGUAAAGCGUGCGCAGGCGGCGGCACAAGUCAGGUGUGAAAUCCCCGGGCUUAACCUGGGAAUUGCGCUUGAAACUAGGUCGCUAGAGUGUGGCAGAGGGGGGUGGAAUUCCACGUGUAGCAGUGAAAUGCGUAGAGAUGUGGAGGAACACCGAUGGCGAAGGCAGCCCCCUGGGUCAACACUGACGCUCAGGCACGAAAGCGUGGGGAGCAAACAGGAUUAGAUACC